This 433-nucleotide ribosomal RNA is filed under the name uncultured bacterium. Its description in RNAcentral is "partial 16S ribosomal RNA". It matches the Rfam family "Bacterial small subunit ribosomal RNA", at positions 29 to 507 of the family's 1533-position model. The record is from RNAcentral.
AACGAACGCUGGCGGCAUGCCUAACACAUGCAAGUCGAACGAGACCUUCGGGUCUAGUGGCGCACGGGUGCGUAACGCGGGGGAACCUGCCCUUAGGUUCGGAAUACCUCCCCGAAAGGGGUGCUAAUACCGGUUAAUCUCUUCGGACCAAAGAUUUAUCGCCUUUGGAUGGGCCCGCGUUGGUUUCGCUAGUUGGUAGGGUAAAAGCCUACCAAGGCGACGAUCCAUAGCUGGUCUGAGAGGAUGAUUAGCCACGCUGGGACUGAGACACGGCCCAGACUCCUACGCGACGCAGCAGUGGGGAAUAUUAGACACUGGGCGAAAGCCUGAUCCAGCAAUGCCGCGUGAGUGAUGAAGGCCUUAGGAUUGUAAAGCUCUUUUACCCGGGAUGAUAAUGACAGUACCGGGAGAAUAAGCUCCGGCUAACUCCGUG